GGGGAAUAUUGGACAAUGGGGGGAACCCUGUUCAAGCAUUGCGCCGUGUGUGAGAAAGGCCUUUUGGUGGAAAACAACUUAAACGGUGGAGGAGGCCCUUUGGGUUAUUCCCAAAGUUAGUGGGAGGUACUUCGAGAAAUAGCAACCGGCAACCUCGGUGCCAGCAGCCGCGGUAAUACAGAGGGUGCGAGCGUUAAUCGGAUUUACUGGGCGUAAAGCGUGCGUAGGCGGCUUUUUAAGUCGGAUGUGAAAUCCCCGAGCUUAACUUGGGAAUUGCAUUCGAUACUGGGAAGCUAGAGUAUGGGAGAGGAUGGUAGAAUUCCAGGUGUAGCGGUGAAAUGCGUAGAGAUCUGGAGGAAUACCGAUGGCGAAGGCAGCCAUCUGGCCUAAUACUGACGCUGAGGUACGAAAGCAUGGGGAGCAAACA
Molecule: ribosomal RNA, 427 nt
Filed under: uncultured Moraxellaceae bacterium
Lineage: Bacteria; Pseudomonadati; Pseudomonadota; Gammaproteobacteria; Moraxellales; Moraxellaceae
Description: bacterial SSU rRNA
Rfam family: Bacterial small subunit ribosomal RNA
Source: RNAcentral